RNAcentral lists this ribosomal RNA (510 nucleotides) under uncultured bacterium. RNAcentral describes it as "partial 16S ribosomal RNA". It matches the Rfam family "Bacterial small subunit ribosomal RNA", at positions 28 to 507 of the family's 1533-position model. The record is from RNAcentral.
GACGAACGCUGGCGGCGUGCUUAACACAUGCAAGUCGAACGAAGAGCGAUGGAAGCUUGCUUCUAUCAAUCUUAGUGGCGAACGGGUGAGUAACGCGUAAUCAACCUGCCCUUCAGAGGGGGACAACAGUUGGAAACGACUGCUAAUACCGCAUACGAUCUAAUCUCGGCAUCGAGGAUAGAUGAAAGGUGGCCUCUACAUGUAAGCUGUCACUGAAGGAGGGGAUUGCGUCUGAUUAGCUAGUUGGAGGGGUAACGGCCCACCAAGGCGAUGAUCAGUAGCCGGUCUGAGAGGAUGAACGGCCACAUUGGGACUGAGACACGGCCCAGACUCCUACGGGAGGCAGCAGUGGGGAAUCUUCCGCAAUGGACGAAAGUCUGACGGAGCAACGCCGCGUGAGUGAUGACGGCCUUCGGGUUGUAAAGCUCUGUUAAUCGGGACGAAAGGCCUUCUUGCGAAUAGUGAGAAGGAUUGACGGUACCGGAACAGAAAGCCACGGCUAACUACGUG